Molecule: long non-coding RNA, 655 nt
Filed under: Volvox carteri
Lineage: Eukaryota; Viridiplantae; Chlorophyta; Chlorophyceae; Chlamydomonadales; Volvocaceae
Description: long non-coding RNA (VCAR_LNC001549)
Source: RNAcentral
CCCCUUGAGGUGGGUCUCCCAGGCUUGUACGGCAACAGGUGGCGGGGUGAGUGGAAGGCGUUUUAUAUAGGAUGCAUUAGGCGGCUCUCUAUCUUCUGGCCCUGCUGUCUGCAGUGGGGCCUAGUAUAGUUGUACCGCGAUGUAUUACUGUACCGUUUCCGAAAAAGUAGGGACCUGAUUGGCUACCAGCUUGUCAGUUCACUUCGGAACGCGUGGAGCUGUUGUGGAGCUUGAUGAUUUUGUUCGCGCUUGCCGUUUGAGUGAUUUACUUCAUUCACCACAACCGCAACAGUUCCUCUGCGCCGCACUGCAUCGCUCGUCCAAACGGCGCCAUCAGAUCUACUCCAGUAGAUCGAGAUCUCUUGACAGGUCCGCGCUCUGAGCCGUGAAGCUAUGAUCUGUCGCGGUUGGUGAACAACUGUCAACGGCCAGUUGAGACCGACAUGCUGUGAACCCCCACGCUGUCGGAAUGGCGCCCGUGGACAGUGAAGCCGUCCGGCUAGUCGGAGUCCUUCCCAUUGUGCUGGCCACGAUGCCUAAUUUGGCGCAGCUGGUCUUAAUCCUCCUGGAGUCGGCCGCCAUGAGCAUGGAAACCGCGGCGCCGCAACUGGAUCAACCAAUGUCAACCCCCCCCCGGAAAGGCCCCCGGAAACGC